RNAcentral lists this long non-coding RNA (160 nucleotides) under Dasypus novemcinctus (nine-banded armadillo). Its description in RNAcentral is "lncRNA (ENSDNOG00000049815.1)". The record is from RNAcentral. Lineage: Eukaryota; Metazoa; Chordata; Mammalia; Cingulata; Dasypodidae.
ACUUGCAGGUCCCCUAAUCCCAGCUUGCUCUCUCUUCCUUUCCUUCCCCUCCCCCAGGAAAGGACUCCUACGAGGGUCGUGAAUGACGUCCAAAGCAGUGUGACUCUAGUCUUCUUUUUGAAUUAAUGUAAUUCUGGAACCUCAAUUUUAUUCUGCCUCC